Molecule: non-coding RNA, 24 nt
Filed under: Mus musculus (house mouse)
Lineage: Eukaryota; Metazoa; Chordata; Mammalia; Rodentia; Muridae
Source: RNAcentral
UGAAGCAGCGUUGGCCUGUGUGUG